GCUAAGUUAGUUUAUUUUAGAAUUUGUAACUUGUAAUUACAGGGAUAUAUUUAGUA
This 56-nucleotide transfer RNA is filed under the name Macroponema beveridgei. RNAcentral describes it as "tRNA-Thr". Lineage: Eukaryota; Metazoa; Nematoda; Chromadorea; Rhabditida; Strongylidae. The record is from RNAcentral.